RNAcentral lists this small RNA (157 nucleotides) under bovine gut metagenome. RNAcentral's name for it is "Clostridiales-1 RNA". It matches the Rfam family "Clostridiales-1 RNA". The record is from RNAcentral.
CAGCGGAAAAAUGCCGACCUCGUCCUGUCAUGCUCGCAUGAACAGGACGGGGGAGGCAUUUGUCCGCGCCCCUCAAUGAGGAAGGAGCGGGGUAGGGGCCCCGCGGAAUCCGAAUUGAGGGGCAGAGCGCGGGAGCGCGAAGCGCGCAGCGCUCUGU